AUUAUCAUUAUUAUCAUAUAUAUAUGUAUGUGUGUAUAUACAUAUACACAUAUACAUAUAUAUAUGUUAUUUGUAAAAGUUGUACUUUGUGUUUUUAACUGCAUAAUAUCAGAGAGAUAGAUAGAGAGAUAGAAAG
Octopus sinensis (East Asian common octopus) is the source of this 136-nucleotide long non-coding RNA. RefSeq lists it as uncharacterized. The record is from RefSeq and is a predicted model, not a curated record. The transcript is spliced from 4 exons. NCBI's taxonomy places the organism in Eukaryota, Metazoa, Mollusca, Cephalopoda, Octopoda, Octopodidae.